RNAcentral lists this ribosomal RNA (762 nucleotides) under uncultured Peptostreptococcus sp. RNAcentral's name for it is "bacterial SSU rRNA". It matches the Rfam family "Bacterial small subunit ribosomal RNA", at positions 28 to 776 of the family's 1533-position model. Lineage: Bacteria; Bacillati; Bacillota; Clostridia; Peptostreptococcales; Peptostreptococcaceae. The record is from RNAcentral.
GAUGAACGCUGGCGGCGUGCCUAACACAUGCAAGUCGAGCGAGGGUUUGCUCAGUAUUGAGUAUUCUAAGACUAGAAUGUUCAAUUCUGAGCAAAACCAAGCGGCGGACGGGUGAGUAACGCGUGGGUAACCUGCCCUAUACACAUGGAUAACAUACUGAAAAGUUUACUAAUACAUGAUAAUAUAUAUUUGCGGCAUCGCAGAUAUAUCAAAGUGUUAGCGGUAUAGGAUGGACCCGCGUCUGAUUAGCUAGUUGGUGAGAUAACUGCCCACCAAGGCGACGAUCAGUAGCCGACCUGAGAGGGUGAUCGGCCACAUUGGAACUGAGACACGGUCCAAACUCCUACGGGAGGCAGCAGUGGGGAAUAUUGCACAAUGGGCGAAAGCCUGAUGCAGCAACGCCGCGUGAACGAUGAAGGUCUUCGGAUCGUAAAGUUCUGUUGCAGGGGAAGAUAAUGACGGUACCCUGUGAGGAAGCCCCGGCUAACUACGUGCCAGCAGCCGCGGUAAUACGUAGGGGGCUAGCGUUAUCCGGAUUUACUGGGCGUAAAGGGUGCGUAGGUGGUCCUUCAAGUCGGUGGUUAAAGGCUACGGCUCAACCGUAGUAAGCCGCCGAAACUGGAGGACUUGAGUGCAGGAGAGGAAAGUGGAAUUCCCAGUGUAGCGGUGAAAUGCGUAGAUAUUGGGAGGAACACCAGUAGCGAAGGCGGCUUUCUGGACUGCAACUGACACUGAGGCACGAAAGCGUGGGUAGCAAACAGG